UAGGGAAUCUUCCACAAUGGACGAAAGUCUGAUGGAGCAACGCCGCGUGAGUGAAGAAGGGUUUCGGCUCGUAAAACUCUGUUGUUAAAGAAGAACAUAUCUGAGAGUAACUGUUCAGGUAUUGACGGUAUUUAACCAGAAAGUCACGGCUAACUACGUGCCAU
This 164-nucleotide ribosomal RNA is filed under the name uncultured bacterium. Its description in RNAcentral is "partial 16S ribosomal RNA". It matches the Rfam family "Bacterial small subunit ribosomal RNA", at positions 355 to 511 of the family's 1533-position model. The record is from RNAcentral.